UCAGUGAACUUCCUCGUUGCCCUGGUUAUGGAGACUCAGACGCACGGUAACUUCAGCAGAGCAGAGCUCUGACGUUGCAGACUUACAAAGGACAGACGAGGUCCGUUGCAACAAGACUGGGACUGAAAGAUGUCGACAAAACAAGAUCUCCACUCACAUCACCCGUUAAUUGGGGGCAACUGGAGAGUAGGCUGGCUUUUAGAGUCAUUGCUGGUUCAAAUUCCCCAGUCUCUUUCCAGGUUAUCUGCCUGGACCUUACACUCUGUCCCCAAUUCUGACCAUCAGUGUUCUGGAUCACCAUGUUUCAACGUGGGCCCUGACUGCUCAGAACACUACUGGGCUGAACAUCCUGAAAUAAUAUGUCACUUAUCCUUCUACUAACACCAAACAUGCACCUGAGUAUUCAUAUAUUCCAUAACAUUGCUUGGAUACUGCAUACCACUUUGUCUCCAAAGCCCCCUGUCUCAGUCCUUAGUUUUUUUGCUGUAAUCAUUCAUGUUUGUUUGUUUGUUUAUUAGGAUCCCCAUUAGCUAAAGUCGUAACAACAGCUAGUCUUCCUUGGGUCCAACACAGAAAUCACAUGUUUAACAUGUGCCGGAGGACAUGGGUCUGUCUGAAUUCUGAUGUAUCUGUUUGGAUCUAAAGGAAUGCUUCUGCUGGUUACUGUGGUGUCCUGUUGAAUCUUAAGAUAACCUGAGUCCUUGGACUGUGUCUUAGGAUUACCUGGCCUGACGAAUCCUAGCUGUCCCUGCUCAAAGUCCCCCUGUUGCAGAUCUAGCCAGUAAUGGCAGGCCACCUGGUCACCUGUCUCUGUCCACCUGGUUGUGUUGCAGAUCUAGCCAAUGAAGACAGGUUACCUGGUCACCCC
Molecule: long non-coding RNA, 868 nt
Organism: Esox lucius (northern pike)
Lineage: Eukaryota; Metazoa; Chordata; Actinopteri; Esociformes; Esocidae
Exons: 3
Source: RefSeq, a predicted model, not a curated record